AUACGUAGGGGGCAAGCGUUAUCCGGAUUUACUGGGUGUAAAGGGAGCGUAGACGGAAGGCCAAGUCUGAUGUGAAAGCCCGCGGCUCAACUGCGGGACUGCAUUGGAAACUGGUCAUCUGGAGUGCAGGAGGGGUAAGCGGAAUUCUUAGGGUAGCGGUGAAAUGCGUAGAUAUUAGGAGGAACACCGGUGGCGAAGGCGGCUUACUGGACUGUAACUGACGUUGAGGCUCGAAAGCGUGGGGAGCAAACAGGAUUAGAUACCCUGGUAGUCCACGCCGUAAGCGAUGAAUACUAGGUGUCGGGUUUCUAUAGAGAUUCGGUGCCGCAGCAAACGCAAUAAGUAUUCCACCUGGGGAGUACGUUCGCAAGAAUGAAACUCAAAUGAAUUGACGGGG
This 397-nucleotide ribosomal RNA is filed under the name uncultured bacterium. RNAcentral describes it as "partial 16S ribosomal RNA". It matches the Rfam family "Bacterial small subunit ribosomal RNA", at positions 523 to 918 of the family's 1533-position model. The record is from RNAcentral.